Molecule: long non-coding RNA, 980 nt
Filed under: Homo sapiens (human)
Lineage: Eukaryota; Metazoa; Chordata; Mammalia; Primates; Hominidae
Description: HSALNT0387048
Source: RNAcentral
UAAUAACUCCUUGGAAACUUGUACUUUUUCUUCCCCUGUCAGAUGUCUGGACUUAAAGGAUCCAGCAGAGGAUUUGGAGGCUCCAGGGUAUGGCUGAGCCCAAGAUGUCAAAGUCUGGGUCAGUGAAUCACAGUAUGGGAGGCCAGUUGCUGAAUGUCUAUACUAAUUGUUACUUCAGCAAGCAAUCAACGACAGUUCUAGGAGUUAACACUUCCUGAGCCAGAACAGACCGAGAGAGACUCCUGGGGAGCUUUGAAAAAAAGAAAUUUAUUUCUCAUGGUUCUGGAAGCUGGGAAGUCCAAGAUCAAGGAAGCAGCAAAUUCAAUGUCUGGCCAGAGUCCCGCCUCCUCAUAGAUUCAUGGAUAUUCUUCUUGCUGUUUUCUCACAUGGUGGAAGAAGCAAGGCAGCUUCUGGGGUCACUUUUAUAAGGGCACUCAUGCAAUUAUGCAGGCUCUGUCUUCAUGUCCAAAUCAUCUCCCAAAAGACCCCAUCUCCUAACAAAUGAAUGCUGGGGUGACACAGACAUUCUGACCACAGCAGGAUUUGAAUCUAGCCUGCUGUAACCCAAAGCCUGUGUUACUAAGAACUUUGCUAUAUGGCAUGGGUCUUUCUGAGCCCUACCUGCCCUACAUCCUCUUCUAUAUCAAAAAUUUCACUUUUUUUUUUCAAAUAUUUUAUUUUUUGUAGAGAUGAGGAGGUCUUGAACUCCUGCCCUCAAAUGAUUCUCCUGCCUCGGCCUCCCAACGUGCUGGGAUUACAGACGUGAGCCACCUUGCCCAGCCAAAAAUUUUCAUUGUUUCUAACCUGGAUUCCUCUUCAAACCCUUCUAGGCAAUGUUUAUCCCACUGCAAGGAUGAGUUGCAUUUGCAACAUUUCUGAAUGUAAUUAUAAGUUAUUUCCAUAAUGGCUGAAUAGUCUGAAAAAAAGUUUUUUUUGCUGUGUGCUAUGUAGGCACAUUGAAUAAUAUUUAAACAAUAAAG